RNAcentral lists this ribosomal RNA (253 nucleotides) under uncultured bacterium. RNAcentral describes it as "partial 16S ribosomal RNA". It matches the Rfam family "Bacterial small subunit ribosomal RNA", at positions 524 to 776 of the family's 1533-position model. The record is from RNAcentral.
UACAGAGGUGGCGAGCGUUAUUCGGAAUUAUUGGGCGUAAAGGGCGCGUAGGCGGCUUGACAAGUCCCGGGUGAAAUCCCUCGGCUCAACCGAGGAACUGCCUUGGAAACUGUCAGGCUUGAGGCCGGGAGAGGGUAGUGGAAUUCCCAGUGUAGCGGUGAAAUGCGUAGAUACUGGGAGGAACACCGGUGGCGAAGGCGGCUACCUGGACCGGUUCUGACGCUGAGGCGCGAAAGCGUGGGUAGCAAACAGG